UUAAGCGACUAAGCGUACACGGUGGAUGCCCUGGCAGUCAGAGGCGAUGAAGGACGUGCUAAUCUGCGAAAAGCGUCGGUAAGGUGAUAUGAACCGUUAUAACCGGCGAUGUCCGAAUGGGGAAACCCAGUGCAAUUCGUUGCACUAUCGUUAACUGAAUACAUAGGUUAACGAGGCGAACCGGGGGAACUGAAACAUCUAAGUACCCCGAGGAAAAGAAAUCAACCGAGAUUCCCCCAGUAGCGGCGAGCGAACGGGGAGCAGCCCAGAGUCUGAAUCAGCUUGUGUGUUAGUGGAACGGUCUGGAAAGUCCGACGGUACAGGGUGAUAGUCCCGUACACCAAAAUGCACAGGUUGUGAACUCGAAGAGUAGGGCGGGACACGUGGUAUCCUGUCUGAAUAUGGGGGGACCAUCCUCCAAGGCUAAAUACUCCUGACUGACCGAUAGUGAACCAGUACCGUGAGGGAAAGGCGAAAAGAACCCCGGCGAGGGGAGUGAAAAAGAACCUGAAACCGUGUACGUACAAGCAGUGGGAGCACCUUCGGGUGUGACUGCGUACCUUUUGUAUAAUGGGUCAGCGACUUAUAUUCUGUAGCAAGGUUAACCGUAUAGGGGAGCCGCAGGGAAACCGAGUCUUAACUGGGCGUUAAGUUGCAGGGUAUAGACCCGAAACCCGGUGAUCUAGCCAUGGGCAGGUUGAAGGUUGGGUAACACUAACUGGAGGACCGAACCGACUAAUGUUGAAAAAUUAGCGGAUGACUUGUGGCUGGGGGUGAAAGGCCAAUCAAACCGGGAGAUAGCUGGUUCUCCCCGAAAGCUAUUUAGGUAGCGCCUCGUGAAUUCAUCUUCGGGGGUAGAGCACUGUUUCGGCUAGGGGGUCAUCCCGACUUACCAACCCGAUGCAAACUACGAAUACCGAAGAAUGUUAUCACGGGAGACACACGGCGGGUGCUAACGUCCGUCGUGAAGAGGGAAACAACCCAGACCGCCAGCUAAGGUCCCAAAGUCAUGGUUAAGUGGGAAACGAUGUGGGAAGGCACAGACAGCCAGGAUGUUGGCUUAGAAGCAGCCAUCAUUUAAAGAAAGCGUAAUAGCUCACUGGUCGAGUCGGCCUGCGCGGAAGAUGUAACGGGGCUAAACCAUGCACCGAAGCUGCGGCAGCGACACUAUGUGUUGUUGGGUAGGGGAGCGUUCUGUAAGCCUGCGAAGGUGACCUGUGAGGGUUGCUGGAGGUAUCAGAAGUGCGAAUGCUGACAUAAGUAACGAUAAAGCGGGUGAAAAGCCCGCUCGCCGGAAGACCAAGGGUUCCUGUCCAACGUUAAUCGGGGCAGGGUGAGUCGACCCCUAAGGCGAGGCCGAAAGGCGUAGUCGAUGGGAAACAGGUUAAUAUUCCUGUACUUGGUGUUACUGCGAAGGGGGGACGGAGAAGGCUAUGUUAGCCGGGCGACGGUUGUCCCGGUUUAAGCAUGUAGGCUGAUUGUCCAGGCAAAUCCGGAUAAUCAAGGCUGAGGUGUGAUGACGAGGCACUACGGUGCUGAAGUAACAAAUGCCCUGCUUCCAGGAAAAGCCUCUAAGCAUCAGGUAACAUUAAAUCGUACCCCAAACCGACACAGGUGGUCAGGUAGAGAAUACCAAGGCGCUUGAGAGAACUCGGGUGAAGGAACUAGGCAAAAUGGUGCCGUAACUUCGGGAGAAGGCACGCUGGUGUGUAGGUGAAGUCCCUGCGGAUGGAGCUGAGACCAGUCGAAGAUACCAGCUGGCUGCAACUGUUUAUUAAAAACACAGCACUGUGCAAACACGAAAGUGGACGUAUACGGUGUGACGCCUGCCCGGUGCCGGAAGGUUAAUUGAUGGGGUUAUCCGUAAGGAGAAGCUCUUGAUCGAAGCCCCGGUAAACGGCGGCCGUAACUAUAACGGUCCUAAGGUAGCGAAAUUCCUUGUCGGGUAAGUUCCGACCUGCACGAAUGGCGUAAUGAUGGCCAGGCUGUCUCCACCCGAGACUCAGUGAAAUUGAACUCGCUGUGAAGAUGCAGUGUACCCGCGGCAAGACGGAAAGACCCCGUGAACCUUUACUAUAGCUUGACACUGAACAUUGAGCCUUGAUGUGUAGGAUAGGUGGGAGGCUUUGAAGCGUGGACGCCAGUCUGCGUGGAGCCAACCUUGAAAUACCACCCUUUAAUGUUUGAUGUUCUAACGUUGGCCCCUGACCGGGGUUGCGGACAGUGUCUGGUGGGUAGUUUGACUGGGGCGGUCUCCUCCCAAAGCGUAACGGAGGAGCACGAAGGUUAGCUAAUCCUGGUCGGACAUCAGGAGGUUAGUGCAAUGGCAUAAGCUAGCUUGACUGCGAGCGUGACGGCGCGAGCAGGUGCGAAAGCAGGUCAUAGUGAUCCGGUGGUUCUGAAUGGAAGGGCCAUCGCUCAACGGAUAAAAGGUACUCCGGGGAUAACAGGCUGAUACCGCCCAAGAGUUCAUAUCGACGGCGGUGUUUGGCACCUCGAUGUCGGCUCAUCACAUCCUGGGGCUGAAGUAGGUCCCAAGGGUAUGGCUGUUCGCCAUUUAAAGUGGUACGCGAGCUGGGUUUAGAACGUCGUGAGACAGUUCGGUCCCUAUCUGCCGUGGGCGCUGGAGAAUUGAGGGGGGCUGCUCCUAGUACGAGAGGACCGGAGUGGACGCAUCACUGGUGUUCGGGUUGUCAUGCCAAUGGCACUGCCCGGUAGCUAAAUGCGGAAGAGAUAAGUGCUGAAAGCAUCUAAGCACGAAACUUGCCCCGAGAUGAGUUCUCCCUGAGACUUUAAGUCUCCUGAAGGAACGUUAAAGACGAUGACGUUGAUAGGCCGGGUGUGUAAGCGCAGCGAUGCGUUGAGCUAACCGGUACUAAUGAACCGUGAGGCUUAACCU
This 2899-nucleotide ribosomal RNA is filed under the name Klebsiella pneumoniae. RNAcentral describes it as "23S ribosomal RNA". It matches the Rfam family "Bacterial large subunit ribosomal RNA". Lineage: Bacteria; Pseudomonadati; Pseudomonadota; Gammaproteobacteria; Enterobacterales; Enterobacteriaceae. The record is from RNAcentral.